AUUGGAUGAGCCCGCGGCCUAUCAGCUUGUUGGCGGGGUAACGGCCCACCAAGGCGACGACAGGUAGCUGGUCUGAGAGGACGACCAGCCACACUGGGACCGAGACACGGCCCAGACUCCUACGGGAGGCAGCAGUAGGGAAUAUUGCGCCAAUGCGCGAAAGCGUGACGCAGCGACGCCGCGUGGGGGAUGAAGGCCCUCGGGUUGUAAACCGCUUUCGGCAGGGACGAAGCGAAAGUGACGGUACCUGCAGAAGAAGGUCCGGCUAACUACGUGCCAGCAGCCGCGGCCGAU
Molecule: ribosomal RNA, 294 nt
Filed under: uncultured actinomycete
Lineage: Bacteria; Bacillati; Actinomycetota; Actinomycetes; Actinomycetales
Description: partial 16S ribosomal RNA
Rfam family: Bacterial small subunit ribosomal RNA
Source: RNAcentral